Molecule: ribosomal RNA, 246 nt
Filed under: uncultured bacterium
Lineage: Bacteria
Description: partial small subunit ribosomal RNA
Rfam family: Bacterial small subunit ribosomal RNA
Source: RNAcentral
AGAAUCAACGCUGGCGGCGUGCCUAACACAUGCAAGUCGCACGAGAAAGGGGAGCAAUCCCUGAGUAAAGUGGCGCACGGGUGAGUAACACGUGAAUUAUCUACCUCCGAGUGGGGAAUAACCAAAAGAAAUUUGGCUAAUACCGCAUAACACUUACGAGUCAAAGCAGCAAUGGCGCUUGGAGAGGAGUUCGCGGCAGAUUAGCUAGUUGGCGGGGUAAUGGCCCACCAAGGGCGAUGAUCUGUA